RNAcentral lists this small RNA (103 nucleotides) under Flavobacterium weaverense. RNAcentral's name for it is "Flavo-1 RNA". It matches the Rfam family "Flavo-1 RNA". The record is from RNAcentral. Lineage: Bacteria; Pseudomonadati; Bacteroidota; Flavobacteriia; Flavobacteriales; Flavobacteriaceae.
UUUUAGUCCUGAUAGUAGUGAAAAUCCUUUUUAUUAGAAAAUUAGUUCAGGCCACUGAAUUAAUUUUAUGAUUAAAAGAUUGUAACGGAUAGCAGGAUUAGCU